UCCAGGUUUCUGGUUCCUCGUGUUUUAUUCUCACGGUUUCUGGUUCCUCGUGUUCUAUUCUCCAGGUUUCUGGUUCCUCGUGUUUUAUUCCGCAUUUUUCUGGUUCCUCAUAUUUUAUUCCACAGGUUUCCGGUUCCUCUUGUUUUAUUCCGCAUUUUUCUGGUUCCUCAUAUUUUAUUCCCCAGGUGUCUGGUUCCUCUGGUUUUAUUCCCCAUGUUUCUGGUUCCUCUUGUUUUAUUGUGCUGGUUUCUGGUUCCUCGUGUUCACUCUCUUCUUUAACAAACAUCAUUUUCACAGCAGCAGAUCUCAGUUCAGCUGAUACUCCUCCAGAUAUUCCUGCGUGAUUCAAAACUUAGACGACGAUGAAGAUAAAUAUUACAGGUACGCCUAUUUACUGAACUGAUUAAGAAACUGUACUUUUCUCUUAAAAGAAACGUUUCUAACUGUUUGUAUUAAGGCAGCAUGUCGACAUCACAACAACAGAGAGCGCUGCGAAACUAAUCUUCCUCUGAGGUUUACUGGUGUUUGUCAAACAAACGAAUGUGUGUAGCGCCUCCCGCUGGACUGGAGUGUACGAGACGCAGAACAAAUAAACACCCCAGACAGCACACAUACGUUGUGCCGAUGUCGGCACGAAAUCGCUUAGGGAGCGUUUGAUAGGAAAGAUUUCGUCGCAAGGUCGGCCUCUGAUCGGAAAUGCUCUCCAGGCGAUGCUGGGACGAUGCAUCCCGGCCGCUCUGCGUGGACGCGGUUCACCGGCGUUUUGAUCAUCGUUAUGGAUCAUAAUUAUAAUAAAACAAUACACACCACUCUCAAGAACAGAUGCAAAUUCAUUAAUAUUUUCAUUUAUUUCAUAUUACAUAUACAAAUACAUUGCCAUUUACCAGAUGCUUUGAUCAAAAGUGGAUAAUUCGGGAUUAUUUGUAGUCUUUUGAACAUUUACCAUGAUUUUACUCCAGCUUUUGCAGUAAAACCAUAGUAAAAACAAAAUCAACCAUAGUUUUACUACAAUCACCAUGGUUUAACUAUGACUGUUGCAGUAAAACCAUAGUAA
This is a long non-coding RNA of Carassius carassius (crucian carp), 1054 nucleotides long. RefSeq lists it as uncharacterized. Lineage: Eukaryota; Metazoa; Chordata; Actinopteri; Cypriniformes; Cyprinidae. The transcript has 3 exons. The record is from RefSeq and is a predicted model, not a curated record.